GAAAUGCGAUAAGUAGUGUGAAUUGCAGAAUUCAGUGAAUCAUCGAAUCUUUGAACGCACAUUGCGCCCCUCGGUAUUCCGUGGGGCAUGCCUGUUCGAGCGUCAUCUACACCCUCAAGCUCUGCUUGGUGUUGGUCGUCUGUCCCGCCUCCUUCGCGCGCGGACUCGCCCCAAAUCCAUUGGCGGCGGCCCUUGCCUCCCUCUCGCGCAGCACAUUGCGCUUCUCGAGGCGCGGCGGACCGCGUCCAGCAAGCAACCGUCACACCGUCUUUGACCUCGGAUCAGGUAGGGAUACCCGCUGAACUUAAGC
RNAcentral lists this unclassified non-coding RNA (310 nucleotides) under plant metagenome. RNAcentral's name for it is "partial contains 5.8S ribosomal RNA, internal transcribed spacer 2, and large subunit ribosomal RNA". The stretch from base 1 to 105 matches the Rfam family "5.8S ribosomal RNA", at positions 50 to 154 of the family's 154-position model. The record is from RNAcentral.